GUCUGCAACUCGACUACAUGAAGCUGGAAUCGCUAGUAAUCGCAGAUCAGAAUGCUGCGGUGAAUACGUUCCCGGGUCUUGUACACACCGCCCGUCACACCAUGGGAGUCGGAAAUGCCCGAAGCCGGUGACCCAACCAAAAGGAGGGAGCCGUCGAAGGCAGGUCUGAUAACUGGGGUGAAGUCGUAACAAGGUACC
RNAcentral lists this ribosomal RNA (198 nucleotides) under uncultured bacterium. Its description in RNAcentral is "partial 16S ribosomal RNA". It matches the Rfam family "Bacterial small subunit ribosomal RNA", at positions 1303 to 1500 of the family's 1533-position model. The record is from RNAcentral.